GACGAACGCUGGCGGCGUGCUUAACACAUGCAAGUCGAACGGAAAGGCCCUGCUUUUGUGGGGUGCUCGAGUGGCGAACGGGUGAGUAACACGUGAGUAACCUGCCCUUGACUUUGGGAUAACUUCAGGAAACUGGGGCUAAUACCGGAUAGGAGCUCCUGCUGCAUGGUGGGGGUUGGAAAGUUUCGGCGGUUGGGGAUGGACUCGCGGCGUAUCAGCUUGUUGGUUGGGUAGUGGCUUACCAAGGCCUUGACGGGUAGCAGGCCUGAGAGGGUGACCGGCCACACUGCGACUGAGAUACGGCACAGACUCGUACGGGAGGCAGCAGUGGAGAAUAUUGCACAGGGGGCGGAAGGCUGGUGCAGCAAAGCAGCGUGGGGGAUGACGGGCUGCGGGUAGUGAACCGAUUUCGCCUGUGACGAGGCGUGAGUGACGGUAAUGGGUAAAGAAGCACCGGCUAACUACGUG
RNAcentral lists this ribosomal RNA (468 nucleotides) under uncultured bacterium. RNAcentral's name for it is "partial 16S ribosomal RNA". It matches the Rfam family "Bacterial small subunit ribosomal RNA", at positions 28 to 507 of the family's 1533-position model. The record is from RNAcentral.